This 427-nucleotide ribosomal RNA is filed under the name uncultured bacterium. RNAcentral's name for it is "partial 16S ribosomal RNA". It matches the Rfam family "Bacterial small subunit ribosomal RNA", at positions 354 to 796 of the family's 1533-position model. The record is from RNAcentral.
GUGGGGAAUAUUGGGCAAUGGGGGAAACCCUGACCCAGCGACGCCGCGUGAGGGAAGACGGCCUUCGGGUUGUAAACCUCUUUUGUACGGGAAGAAGGAAGUGACGGUACUGUACGAAUAAGUCCCGGCUAACUACGUGCCAGCAGCCGCGGUAAUACGUAGGGGACGAGCGUUGUCCGGAAUUACUGGGCGUAAAGGGCGCGCAGGCUGUGCUGCAAGUCAGCUGUGAAAUGUCUGGGCUUAACCCGGGCAUGCGGUUGAGACUGCAGUGCUGGAGUGCUGUAGAGGCAAGUGGAAUUCCCAGUGUAGCGGUGAAAUGCGUAGAUAUUGGGAAGAACACCGGUGGCGAAGGCGACUUACUGGACUGUAACUGACGCUGAGGCGCGAAAGUGUGGGGAGCAAACAGGAUUAGAAACCCCGGUAGUCC